Molecule: long non-coding RNA, 258 nt
Filed under: Nicotiana tabacum (common tobacco)
Lineage: Eukaryota; Viridiplantae; Streptophyta; Magnoliopsida; Solanales; Solanaceae
Description: long non-coding RNA (NTAB_LNC002107)
Source: RNAcentral
AAUGUAUUCCCGCAUUAUACUGGUGGGCGACCUAGAACUUAAAAGUAUUCCCGUAUUAUACUGGUGGGCGACCUAGAACUGAAAAUGUAUUCCCGCAUUAUACUGGUGGGCGACCUAGAACUGAAAAGUAUUCCCGCAUUAUACUGGUGGGCGACCUAGAACUUAAAAGUAUUCCCGCAUUAUACUGGUGGGCGACCUAGAACUUAAAUGUAUUCCCGCAUUAUACUGGUGGGCGACCUAGAACUGAAAUGUAUUCCC